Long non-coding RNA from Sturnus vulgaris (Common starling), 1374 nucleotides. RefSeq lists it as uncharacterized. NCBI's taxonomy places the organism in Eukaryota, Metazoa, Chordata, Aves, Passeriformes, Sturnidae. The record is from RefSeq and is a predicted model, not a curated record.
AUAAAAGGACCUAAUUUUUCAUCAGGUUUGUAAAUCUGGAACCUACAAACUGUACUUGUUUUAAGUGAUCCUUUACUCCAUGGGUAGCCUGUGAGUAAGGCUGCCAGAUUGCCUUGUAUCUCUGGGCAUUUCUGGGGAAUCUUCUUUUUUCUUAAUCCUCUUCGCAGGAAUUACAAGGCAGCAUGAUACACUUCUACUCACAUGAACUUUCUAAAAGACUUUAUCACCCACAAAUUUUGAGAUGCCCACCGCUAUAAAACUCUGGAAGCCAAGCAGAAGGUCAGAGUUUUUCCCAUGUGGAGCAAUUUCUGGACUGAUGCUUCUCCUGGCGUCCACAGCCCUUUCUGUGCAGCAGUUAAUGAACUGAGAUCCAAGAGAAGCGUGAGUUUGUGUUCUAAAUGGUGGCUCUGAUUAGCAUGCAAGAACAUUUAAAUGAAAAAUACUGAUGAAAGCAUACAUAUUUUCCACUGAAAGCUUCUUUAUUUUAUAUUCAUGCUUCAGAGAACAUAACUCUCACUAUGGAAUACUUGCAUAAUGUGAAUGCUGGAACGUGUGCAAAAUGUGAAUGCUGGAACAUUUCUAUCACAUCACGAGAUGCUGCUGAGCUCUGUCCACCCUCUAUGCUUGGGAGUGAUCUCUUGGAGCACUCUGGAUCUGUACACUGUGCAUUUCAUUUUCUGUGGUUUACUUUAGUUUUGUAGUAUUUGUUAAUCCUGUAGGCUUCAAGAAACCUUUGUUUUUCUGGGGUUUGGAUCCAGCCAGAACUCAUUGGUACACAUAGGUUUUGUGGGACUUGCACUGAUCUUAGUGAGAGAAGCACAAGCUGCAGAAGGGUCUGGUGACAGCAUGAAGACAUUAGUCUGUGAGCAUAUAAAAAUUUAUAAUCUACCUGCACUUUAAUCUCUUAAUGAAAAAAAUCCUACAUGUAUAGAAGUGGGGUGUUCACAAUGGCUAAUUUAUCAUUUUUUUUGGUCUGGAACUGUCCCUGUGCUUGGUAGCAAGAGAAGCUUGGGCAGAGGGUGUUUCAAAGCAGGAGAUAUUGCAUAAAGAAGUUAAGCCCUGAGGCCAAGGAUGGCCUUUAUAAAUACCCUUCACUAAAACAUUCAUAUUUGUACUCUAACAUGUGGUAUACAAACCUGAAUUCAUCUGCCUUAGGAGCUGAUAAGACGCCUUGUAAAAGCCAGAACUAUGGACCCAAUUAAAGUGUUUGUUUCUAAGAGAUGGUAUAUUAUAACCUCUUGGGAACAUCCAAGGGUCUGCCACAUAUUGCAUAAUUAAGGAAACACAAAAAUUAUCAAAUGAAAAGCCAUGCUAAGAGAAUGUCAUAAUUUUUGAAUGCUGUUACUUUUUUUAAAAUUAAAACUGUUGAACAAG